UAUGUCCGAAGUUGUGACAAACGUACGUCCUAUGGACGUCUUUUGUAAAAAAAAUGGACAUAUAACGGACGUCCAAUGGACAUCUGUCUGCUGUCUGGAUAGUGAUUACUACCCAACGAUUUCGCAAUCAGAAUGAUCGCUGUGGUUUCGUUGCUCAUAUCCUAACAUUAAACGCGAUGGCGUGGACUUUAUCGCUCUAUAACCUGCUGUCCAUGUAUGCCGGCCUCCACCGUUGCCCCUCCUUAUCCGGUGCAAAUAAUAGAAAUAAGCCCCGGGGUCGACGCCAUAUUUUGGCUGCCCCCGGGCGCUUGGACACGUUUUGCAACGCGCCGAAGAGGGAUCUACCAUGAAAGGAGGGCGUACUAGGUGGCGAAAUCCGAUCCGACGACGUAACCGCUUCAAGCAACAAGCUUGAUUGGCGCUUCGACAAGAACUACUUCUCUAUCCGCGGUUCUUCGGCACGACAACUUCAGGAAGUGUGAGCCCGAAUCCCACUUCUGAUGUGUUUUACUUCUCGCUGUAAAAGAGACAGCAAGGAUUCUCUGGCUUUCCACUCUCCCUCGACGACUUUAUGACAGGAUAGACAGCACAAUAAAAUAAUUGUUCGACAUUUGUAUAAUUAGAAAAU
Harpegnathos saltator (Jerdon's jumping ant) is the source of this 628-nucleotide long non-coding RNA. RefSeq lists it as uncharacterized. NCBI's taxonomy places the organism in Eukaryota, Metazoa, Arthropoda, Insecta, Hymenoptera, Formicidae. The record is from RefSeq and is a predicted model, not a curated record. The transcript is spliced from 3 exons.